Molecule: ribosomal RNA, 576 nt
Filed under: uncultured eukaryote
Lineage: Eukaryota
Description: eukaryotic LSU rRNA
Rfam family: 5.8S ribosomal RNA (bases 182-335)
Source: RNAcentral
AACAAGGUCUCCGUUGGUGAACCAGCGGAGGGAUCAUUAUCGAGUUAUUCAACUCCCAAACCCUAUGUGAACUUACCACUUGUUGCUUCGGCGCGCGCUUCGGCGCCGCCGAGGACACUUAAACUCUUUGUUUUUAUAAGCAUUUCUGAGUGGCCGAAAGGCAAAAAUACAAAUGAAUCAAAACUUUCAACAACGGAUCUCUUGGUUUUGGCAUCGAUGAAGAACGCAGCGAAAUGCGAUAAGUAAUGUGAAUUGCAGAAUUCAGUGAAUCAUCGAAUCUUUGAACGCACAUUGCGCCCGCCAGCAUUCUGGCGGGCAUGCCUGUUCGAGGGUCAUUUCAACCCUCGAGCCCGACUCUUUUGAGGACGGCUCGGCGUUGGGGGACGGCAGACUCCCCCCGGCAUCUCGCCGGGGACGCCGCCCCCGAAAUCUAGUGGCGGCCCUCCGAGGCGACCUCUGCGUAGUAACUUGUUCUCGCACCGGAAAGCUCAGAGCGGCCACGCCGUAAAACCCCAACUUUUUUCAGGUUGACCUCGAAUCAGGUAGGACUACCCGCUGAACUUAAGCAUAUCAAUA